RNAcentral lists this long non-coding RNA (659 nucleotides) under Junco hyemalis (dark-eyed junco). RNAcentral's name for it is "lncRNA (ENSJHYG00000016969.1)". Lineage: Eukaryota; Metazoa; Chordata; Aves; Passeriformes; Passerellidae. The record is from RNAcentral.
AUAGGAAAGGAUUUAAGGAAAUGUCAUGUUUCGUUUGUAUUUUCAGAACUGUAGAUAAUUACUGAUUACUGCAGAAGAGUGAAUAUCCUCUAAGAAAUAAAGGUGAAGAGGAUGGAACGAGAAUGUCUUGCCUAAGGGGAGUUAGAUGAUCCUCCUGCAGUAAGACCUUUGCAUCCUCAAAAGGCAGCACCAGAAAUUUCUCAUAAAGUUUGACCUGUUGUUCUGAAGAAGGAGAAGCAGGAAGGAUGCUUGACCCCUCCAUGGAUGCAGUAGGAUCAGUUCUGGCCAGAGCUGUGCUGUGUGGGGAGGCUCAGAGGAGACGCUGCUGGCAGCCUGCAGGUGACCUCGGGACCCCAUGGGCCAGCCAGGAAGAUCUCUAUUAUUUUGAAGAAAUCCACAUUUGUCCUGCUGACAAUGUAGGGAGAAGUUAUUCUUCACUGUAGUGGCAUCAGAGGAAACUCUUAGGAGGAGGAAAUUCAAAGUAGGAGGAAGUCUCUCCCGGGAUUUGGCAUAGGGGAGUGCCACAAACCAUCAGCCUUCCUGUCUCUGCUGUGCCAACGAAGCCUCUCCUGGGAUGUACCACGAGAAGCAGACAGUGUGUCUGGGGAGUUAAUGUGGCUUCAGAUGAAAUUAUCUCCUGCAGAAUCCAUCUUGCCUGU